Molecule: ribosomal RNA, 301 nt
Filed under: uncultured bacterium
Lineage: Bacteria
Description: partial 16S ribosomal RNA
Rfam family: Bacterial small subunit ribosomal RNA
Source: RNAcentral
CAGCCGCCACGGGAAUACGAAGGGUGCAAGCGUUAAUCGGAAUUACUGGGCGUAAAGCGUGCGUAGGCGGUUUGUUAAGUCUGUCGUGAAAUCCCCGGGCUCAACCUGGGAAUGGCAAUGGAUACUGGCAAGCUAGAGUGUGUCAGAGGAUGGUGGAAUUCCCGGUGUAGCGGUGAAAUGCGUAGAGAUCGGGAGGAACACCAGUGGCGAAGGCGGCCAUCUGGGACAACACUGACGCUGAGGCACGAAAGCGUGGGGAGCAAACAGGAUUAGAUACCCGAGUAGUCCCUGUCUCUUAUAC